RNAcentral lists this transfer RNA (64 nucleotides) under Cavia porcellus (domestic guinea pig). It matches the Rfam family "tRNA". From Rfam's summary of the family: Transfer RNA (tRNA) molecules are approximately 80 nucleotides in length. Their secondary structure includes four short double-helical elements and three loops (D, anti-codon, and T loops). The record is from Rfam by way of RNAcentral. Lineage: Eukaryota; Metazoa; Chordata; Mammalia; Rodentia; Caviidae.
GGGGAUUUAGCUCAGCGGCAUAAGCGCCUGCCUUGCAAGCAGGCAGUCAGAAAUUCAAUCCCCG